This is a non-coding RNA of Hydra vulgaris (swiftwater hydra), 1419 nucleotides long. NCBI's taxonomy places the organism in Eukaryota, Metazoa, Cnidaria, Hydrozoa, Anthoathecata, Hydridae. The record is from RefSeq and is a predicted model, not a curated record.
GCUAAAACUACCCACAACUCUCCAUUGGAAAUAAUUUUAAAGAUUUGUUGUGGCAAUGACAAUUUUACUAAUGAAAAGCACCAAAAGUGGGGAAUCAAAUAAAGAUCUCGUAUUGUUAUUAACAUUUUUAUAACAAUUUGCAAAAAGAAGUUACAUAUUCAUUGAGUAAAGAUCAAGUAAAAAAACUGCAAAAAAGGCAAAGACAAAAUAAAUAUUCCUGUAAAAAGGUAUUUCUUCUUUUAAUUUCAAUUAUAAAAAUACAAAACUACAAACCUUUGAUUUUUUUUUUUUCAAUGAAGAGUUUGAGACAAUCUUAGCAACAUGUAAGGUUAUUUUUAAUAGCAUGUUGGUAUGUGUUGAUAUAGCUAUCUGAAAGCCUAUUUCAGUAUUCUGUGUUAUUAGAAUAAACUGAAACAGGCGAUCAGUUAACAAAAAAUCCAGCACAAAAUAGUGUGAGUACUCAAAUAAAAUCUACCUAUUAUUAAAGCAUUUUAAUAAAAUAAGAAUAAACCAAUUAUAAUGCAAACAAGACUCAUAACCAUAUAGAAAAUUACGUUUUUAUACUUGAGCCGUAAAAAAACUGGCCUCUUAAUUUUUUACGGAAAAUGCAACAAAUCAGGCCGUGUAAUUUAAGUAGGCCAUGGUGGUGUCUAUCGUUAAAAAUGAUUAAAAUAUAGUUUCAUUAUUGGAAUUAAUCAUUUUAAUCGUUCAAUAAAAGCCAAGACAAAAGUUAUAUUAAAUCAUCUUUAAAAUAAUUACAAAUUAUAAUUUUUUUUAUGUUAAGGUUUACUUAUUAUUUAUAUUGAAACAGGAAAUUUGUUUAUUAACCGAAGAAAAUGGCUAGCUCGUUAACCAUACUGUAUGGUCCUGUUAAUGUGACAAUCACAUGAAAGACAAUAAUAUAGGAUAGGUGGGGGGGCAUACGCCCCUCCCGUAAUAGAAACACCACUUGUAUACACAAGAUCUUGUAUAAAAUAAUUUUAUAUUGUAUACUAAUUUUACACAUUUUAGUAAAGAUAUAAAUAUAAAAUCAAGUCGUUGUUAAUACUAGGGUGUAUUAAACCACCACCACAACACCCACCUCUAUUGCUAACAUACACCUCUCAUAAAUUUUAUUGGUUUAGUAUAAUUUUAAAAUAAUUUUUUUUAAAUAAUUAUAUUGCUUAUGUCUUUAAAAAAAACUUUUUUUCUGAAAAAAGUGUUCAGUUUCAUACGGGCAUGGUUGUGGUUUGGUGCCCCUCUGUCUAUCUGAAACGCCCGGUGGUUAGAGUUUAACAUAAAGUUGUAUCCCACUCUUAUACCUAUCUUUUGACGCCAAGGUGUUUGCUUUUCGAUAAGAAUUGUCAAAGUUAUGACAAUUUAAGUGAAGAAAAACAAUAUUUUGACCACAGUUUCUUCAACAAAUCCAUAUAUCGAAAA